RNAcentral lists this ribosomal RNA (253 nucleotides) under uncultured bacterium. RNAcentral describes it as "partial 16S ribosomal RNA". It matches the Rfam family "Bacterial small subunit ribosomal RNA", at positions 524 to 776 of the family's 1533-position model. The record is from RNAcentral.
UACGUAGGGACCAAGCGUUGCUCGGAUUUACUGGGCGUAAAGGGCGCGUAGGCGGCGUGGUAAGUCACUUGUGAAAUCUCUGAGCUUAACUCAGAACGGCCAAGUGAUACUGCUGUGCUAGAGUGCAGAAGGGGCAAUCGGAAUUCUUGGUGUAGCGGUGAAAUGCGCAGAUAUCAGGAGGAACACCAAUGGCGAAGGCAGCUCGCUGGGACGUGACUGACGCUGAGACGCGAAAGCGUGGGGAGCAAACAGG